RNAcentral lists this ribosomal RNA (215 nucleotides) under Glomeromycotina sp. RNAcentral describes it as "partial small subunit ribosomal RNA". The stretch from base 39 to 215 matches the Rfam family "Eukaryotic small subunit ribosomal RNA", at positions 686 to 864 of the family's 1831-position model. The record is from RNAcentral. Lineage: Eukaryota; Fungi; Glomeromycota.
GGUCAGUAGGUUGGUCGUGCCACCGGUACGUACUGGUCUCACUGAUUCCUCCUUCCUGAAGAACCGUAAUGCCAUUAAUUUGGUGUUGCGGGGAAACAGGACUGUUACUUUGAAAAAAUUAGAGUGUUUAAAGCAAGCUAACGCUUGAAUACAUUAGCAUGGGAUAAUGAAAUAGGACGAUCGAUCCUAUUUUGUUGGUUUCUAGGAUUGACGUA